GAUGAACGCUGGCGGCGUGCCUAACACAUGCAAGUCGAGCGAUUCUCUUCGGAGAAGAGCGGCGGACGGGUGAGUAACGCGUGGGUAACCUGCCCUGUACACACGGAUAACAUACCGAAAGGUAUGCUAAUACGAGAUAAUAUACUUUUAUCGCAUGGUAGAAGUAUCAAAGCUUUUGCGGUACAGGAUGGACCCGCGUCUGAUUAGCUAGUUGGUAAGGUAACGGCUUACCAAGGCGACGAUCAGUAGCCGACCUGAGAGGGUGAUCGGCCACAUUGGAACUGAGACACGGUCCAAACUCCUACGGGAGGCAGCAGUGGGGAAUAUUGCACAAUGGGCGAAAGCCUGAUGCAGCAACGCCGCGUGAGCGAUGGAGGCCUUCGGUCGUAAAGCUCUGUCCUCAAGAAGAAAUGACGGUACUUGAGGAGGAAGCCCCGGCUAACUACGUGCCACGCAGCCGCGGUAAAAGUACACGUCG
Molecule: ribosomal RNA, 478 nt
Filed under: uncultured bacterium
Lineage: Bacteria
Description: bacterial SSU rRNA
Rfam family: Bacterial small subunit ribosomal RNA
Source: RNAcentral